Molecule: long non-coding RNA, 1967 nt
Organism: Astatotilapia calliptera (eastern happy)
Lineage: Eukaryota; Metazoa; Chordata; Actinopteri; Cichliformes; Cichlidae
Source: Ensembl
GCCGCCACUAAACAGUAUAAAGAGGAAGAAAAAGAAAACGAAACCUGUCAGGAUACACACGUCUGUUUUCUACAGUCAUUGAAGCCAACAGUGACGUGUGGGCCACCAUUCUGGCUCUGAUCUGGCUUCCUGCUUUCAAGAUGGAUGCAAAGGACGAGUGGGAGCUUCUGGCUAUGAAAGCUGUUUCAUGGCUCCGUGCUCAGAAUGCGCCGCGUGUGACAGAGUAUGUGGAUGCUGGAAAUGUCCUGUUGGGUUGCAGCGUGAGGAAAGAAGCUCUGGGCCUCUGAGGGGUUUCUUAAAGUGGCUUCAACUUCAGGGUGAUCAGAAGCAGAUCUGCGUACACCUUACUGCCUUUGAUCCAGUGCUGUUUUAUGUUACAUACCCUGCUGCUGUUAUGCAGUCAGAAUUGUUAUAUAUUCUUUUUCAUGCUUAGUUCUUAGUGUUAAGAGGCAUUUUGUAUUUUGUGAAUCACUCCCUGUAAACCGGUGUGGGGAACUCCAGGCCUCAAAUGAUUAGUUCAUUACCAGGCCUCUGGAGAACUUCAAGACAAGUUGAGGAUGUAAUUUAGCCAUUUAAAUGAGCUGUGUUGGAUCAAGGACACUUCCAAACCUUGCAGGAAACCGGGCCUUGAGGUCUGGAGUUCCCUACCCCAGCUGUAAACCAAUGCACCUUUCGAGGUCCUCCUUCUUAGUUGCAUUGAGGAUUUUGUGCACGCUUCUUAUGACAGAGAGGAUAGAAGAGGCACAAAACUGUGCCCAGUCUGUGACAUCAAACAAAUUGGUUGUGAAUCAAAACUCUUUAUUCCUACUUUUCUAAGUAAUCUUAAAAUUUCAAGUAAACCUUUUCUGAGUAAUCUGUUUCUCCCGUUGCAGUUGUGCUCACCAGUCAAAACACAACGUCUAUACACCACUAAACAUUCAACACUUCUAUAGCAAAGUCCGUGAGCUGAACACAUACAAGGUGCCUGAACAUAACUAACAAAUUAUAAUUUGUCACUCCAAGUUAACAUGUUUGUUUUUUAUUUUUAAAAAGCAAACUUUUUCAACCACCACUGGUUUAUUAUUCUUUUUGUUCAGUUUGUUCUUGUCUUAAUGUGUCUACUCAGACAAAAACUGUGUGCAUUUCUUUUCUUUGCUCGGUCACUGAACGCUAAUGCAGAAAGCAGUGCAGGGUUGAGUCAAACCGAUAUCAUCAGGUGCUGGAGGCAACCAUCAUGGUUUCAUGUUUCAUGACAAAGAAGGAUACUGUUCAAAAUUAUACAUGAUGAUGUGCUCCCAAUAAUAUUUGGAAGACCUACACACAUUUUUUUAAAUACUGGAUUCUUUGUGUGCAAACAGUUCUUGAAAGAUCGAUUGACGGGGGCCAGUCUCUUUCUGUCAUGGUCCUGGGUCUGGUGACCCAGUGUUCAUGUGUUUUCGAGUUUUGUUAAUAUUCUUUGAUUUUGUGUCAUUUGUGUCACCCACACACACACACACACACACCUACACGUAUACACAGACUGGUACUCUUUGUUCCCAUGUAUGCCUAUGUAAGAUGUCAUAUGUUAAUGAACUAAUGCAUAUUCAUGAGUUACUUCAAUAAAGAGCAGUACUACGGGGGAGCUAACUGAGAGUGACUGGGGUUCAAGCGUCAGGAACAGCGCUCAUCACAGUUCUCUCCCUCGUGCACGUGAUUACCAAAGAACUUUGGUGACUUGUGUCUUGUUUUUGCUGGUGUAGUAGCAUUGUCUCAUUUCAGCAACAGGUCUGUGCUAGGCAAACCUAUCAAUAAUUGCUUAAUUUUUUGUUUUGUUUUUGUUCUUUAUCUUUAUAAGUAAGGCAGGAAGAAGUAUAGGGCCAUUUUCUAUAAGGGUUUGUAUCAGUCCAGCAUGAACUGGAGUGGGCCUUUGGGACAGAGCAGGAGAAACAGCAGGAAACAAUAAAAAUUGAUCUUUGGUUAUCGCUUGCCAAACUGGAUAAACUGACCAU